UCUAGAUUUGAUGUGGUGUAGGAAUGUUAAUAGUAAUAGUGAAAUGUAUAUAGAAUUGGUAUAAAAUAAAUUGGAUAUUGGUAGCUUGAAAAGGUAGAUAUUCGAUUCACGAAAGCUUGAGGUGUGACAGGGAUUUGAGACCCCUUUAAUUCGAGACUGAAAUUAUGCAGGCAAUGUUUGUGGAUCUCUUUUUAACAAAUAAAGGUUCUUUUCCUAAGGAGUACGCUUUCACUUGUGAAACUUAAAUGUUCUGGUGGUGGUUUAGAACAAUAGUGGAAUAGAUGAUUUAAUUCGAUGAAAUGCGAUAAAGCUUAUCUGUUAUCUGAAAUAAUACCUAGGUAUAGGUAGAAUUCUAUUCGAGGUAGUGCAUGGCUGUUGGAGGGUAAUGUUUUGUAAUAUCUGGUUUCGGACAGGAAUAGCCGAUACACUUUUAGUUGUUAUAGGUCUUUUGCAUCUUUUCAUGAUGCAUGAUAUGAAUAAUGAAUGUGAUGCAUGAAUAGUAUGGUCUUUUAGAUAGAAUAACGUCGAGUCAUUAUGCUCUUUAGUUCGGAGAUAUUCAUGUGUUACUAGGAGAGGUAUAUAG
This 583-nucleotide ribosomal RNA is filed under the name Alexandrium margalefii. Its description in RNAcentral is "partial Bacterial small subunit ribosomal RNA". It matches the Rfam family "Bacterial small subunit ribosomal RNA", at positions 640 to 1244 of the family's 1533-position model. Lineage: Eukaryota; Dinophyceae; Gonyaulacales; Pyrocystaceae. The record is from RNAcentral.